Molecule: small nucleolar RNA, 124 nt
Filed under: Octodon degus (degu)
Lineage: Eukaryota; Metazoa; Chordata; Mammalia; Rodentia; Octodontidae
Source: RNAcentral
CCGCACUACUCGUAACCUUUUAACUUGGUUGUAGCUAAUGGGUUCCAUUCUAGUGCCACAGCAAUUCCAGUGAACAUGACUGACUGACACUCCUGUCUUUCAGUUUCAGGAACUGGAGACAAAU